AUUGAACGCUGGCGGCAUGCUUUACACAUGCAAGUCGAACGGCAGCGGGGGCUUAGGCCUGCCGGCGAGUGGCGAACGGGUGAGUAAUGCAUCGGAACGUACCCAGUUGUGGGGGAUAACGUACCGAAAGGUACGCUAAUACCGCAUACGCCCUGAGGGGGAAAGCGGGGGACUUUGGUGGCCACACCGGGCCUCGCGCGCUUGGAGCGGCCGAUGGCUGAUUAGCUAGUUGGUGAGGUAAAGGCUCACCAAGGCGACGAUCAGUAGCUGGUCUGAGAGGAUGAUCAGCCACACUGGGACUGAGACACGGCCCAGACUCCUACGGGAGGCAGCAGUGGGGAAUUUUGGACAAUGGGGGCAACCCUGAUCCAGUCAUGCCGCGUGAGUGAAGAAGGCCUUCGGGUUGUAAAGCUCUUUCGGACGGGAAGAAAUCGCACGCUCUAACAUAGUGUGUGGAUGACGGUACCGUAAUAAGAAGCACCGGCUAACUACGUGCCAGCAGCCGCCGUAA
Molecule: ribosomal RNA, 511 nt
Filed under: uncultured bacterium
Lineage: Bacteria
Description: partial 16S ribosomal RNA
Rfam family: Bacterial small subunit ribosomal RNA
Source: RNAcentral